GCAUAUCAAUAAGCGGAGGAAAAGAAACUAACUAGGAUUCCCUUAGUAACGGCGAGUGAACCGGGAUGAGCUCAAAUUUGAAAUCUGGCGUCUUUCAGGCGUCCGAGUUGUAAUCUAUAGAGGCGUUUUCCGCGCCGGACCGCGUCCAAGUCUCUUGGAAUAGAGUAUCAAAGAGGGUGACAAUCCCGUACUUGACGCGACAACCGGUGCUCUGUGAUACGUUCUCAACGAGUCGAGUUGUUUGGGAAUGCAGCUCUAAAUGGGUGGUAAAUUCCAUCUAAGGCUAAAUAUUGGCGAGAGACCGAUAGCGAACAAGUACCGUGAGGGAAAGAUGAAAAGCACUUUGGAAAGAGAGUUAAACAGCACGUGAAAUUGUUAAAAGGGAAACGAUUGAAGUCAGUCGUGUGAAAGGUAUUCAGCCGUCUCUGGCGGUGUAUUUGCCUUUCACGGGUCAACAUCAGUUUAGUCCGGUAGAAAAAGGCUGGAGGAAGGUGGCACCCUCGGGUGUGUUAUAGCCUCCUGUCAUAUGUGCCGGAUUAGACUGAGGAACGCAGCUUGCAGCAAUGCCGGGGUUCGCCCACGUACAAGCUUAGGAUGUUGACAUAAUGGCUUUAAACGACCCGUCUUG
Molecule: ribosomal RNA, 628 nt
Filed under: Cryptococcus sp. VTT C-04548
Lineage: Eukaryota; Fungi; Basidiomycota; Tremellomycetes; Tremellales; Cryptococcaceae
Description: eukaryotic LSU rRNA
Rfam family: Eukaryotic large subunit ribosomal RNA
Source: RNAcentral